RNAcentral lists this ribosomal RNA (414 nucleotides) under uncultured microorganism. RNAcentral's name for it is "bacterial SSU rRNA". It matches the Rfam family "Bacterial small subunit ribosomal RNA", at positions 9 to 418 of the family's 1533-position model. The record is from RNAcentral.
GAGUUUGAUCCUGGCUCAGAUUGAACGCUGGCGGCAUGCCUUACACAUGCAAGUCGAACGGCAGCAUGAUCUAGCUUGCUAGAUUGAUGGCGAGUGGCGAACGGGUGAGUAAUACAUCGGAACGUGCCCUGUAGUGGGGGAUAACUAGUCGAAGGAUUAGCUAAUACCGCAUACGACCUGAGGGUGAAAGUGGGGGACCGCAAGGCCUCAUGCUAUAGGAGCGGCCGAUGUCUGAUUAGCUAGUUGGUGGGGUAAAGGCCCGACCAAGGCGACGAUCAGUAGCUGGUCCGAGAGGACGAUCAGCCACACUGGGACUGAGACACGGCCCAGACUCCUACGGGAGGCAGCAGUGGGGAAUUUUGGACAAUGGGCGAAAGCCUGAUCCAGCAGUGCCGCGUGUGUGAAGAAGGCCUC